This 679-nucleotide ribosomal RNA is filed under the name Virgibacillus sp. ELP20. RNAcentral describes it as "bacterial SSU rRNA". It matches the Rfam family "Bacterial small subunit ribosomal RNA", at positions 108 to 757 of the family's 1533-position model. The record is from RNAcentral. Lineage: Bacteria; Bacillati; Bacillota; Bacilli; Caryophanales; Bacillaceae.
CACUAACACGUGGGCAACCUGCCUGUAAGASUGGGAUAACCCCGGGAAACCGGGGCUAAUACCGGAUAAUACUUUUCAUCACAUGGUGAGAAGUUGAAAGGCGGCUUUUGCUGUCACUUACAGAUGGGCCCGCGGCGCAUUAGCUAGUUGGUGGGGUAAUGGCUCACCAAGGCGACGAUGCGUAGCCGACCUGAGAGGGUGAUCGGCCACACUGGGACUGAGACACGGCCCAGACUCCUACGGGAGGCAGCAGUAGGGAAUCUUCCGCAAUGGACGAAAGUCUGACGGAGCAACGCCGCGUGAGUGAUGAAGGUUUUCGGAUCGUAAAACUCUGUUGUUAGGGAAGAACAAGUACCGUUCGAAUAGGGCGGUACCAUGACGGUACCUAACCAGGAAAGCCCCGGCUAACUACGUGCCAGCAGCCGCGGUAAUACGUAGGGGGCAAGCGUUGUCCGGAAUUAUUGGGCGUAAAGCGCUCGCAGGCGGUCUUUUAAGUCUGAUGUGAAAGCCCACGGCUUAACCGUGGGAGGGUCAUUGGAAACUGGAGGACUUGGAGUACAGGAAGAGGGAGAGGUGGAAUUCCCCCGUGGUACCGGUGAAAUGCGUUAGAAAUGUGGGAGGAACACCAGUUGGCGAAAGGCGACUCUCUGGUUCUGUUAACUGACGCUUAAGGAGCGAA